Malaya genurostris is the source of this 550-nucleotide long non-coding RNA. RefSeq lists it as uncharacterized. The record is from RefSeq and is a predicted model, not a curated record. Lineage: Eukaryota; Metazoa; Arthropoda; Insecta; Diptera; Culicidae. The transcript is spliced from 2 exons.
UCUAUUAAAACUGUAUCGUAAAUUUAACUACCCCUCAGUAACUUGUAAUGUCAAAACUAAAAUCCCAUGAAAAUGUCUAAAACUAGCAACCCAUAUUGGUAAAUUGUUUAUUUUUAGAUAAUAGUUACUACAGCCUUGGUUACGUUUUCUUUUCCAUUGAAAAAUAUAAAUAAAGCAAAGCAGUUAUGUGAGUAGAGCGAUAGAAGAAAGAGUAAACGAUUAAAAAUAACCUUUUUAUAGGAAAAAGGCAAAAGACUGCGGUCAACCUGAAACCUACUUAAGAAAAUGAAACGGCUACGGACAAUCGUGGACCGAAUUGCCAAGUUGCUUAUUACUGAGACUUAAUUUCUGUAAGGACCAUGGACAUUUCUGAUGAAUUUCAAUUCAUCUACCAUCGCGGUAGUCGAGUCAAGAAUAUCAUAUCUACGGUUCUACCGCCGAGUACAAACGAGGACGUGCCGUCGUUUUACAAAGUGAUGUAGUGUGUAUUUUACCGAAUCAGAUCUAAUCAUCUGAAAAUUAUAAAUAAAAAUCAUAAACAAUGGUGAAA